UAAUUUGUAAUUUUAAACUGCUUUUGUCAUUCAUAAUUUAUAACAAAUUAUUUUAUCUGCUUGAUCUGCAUUUAUCCUGCAUUAUCCACUUGUUCUGCACUUAUUCUGUUUGAUCUGCACUUAUUCCGCUUGAUCUGCAUGAUCUGUUUGAUCUGCAACGCUUGAACUGCUUUUACCAUUCAGAGCCUAAGAGUAUUUAUUUUUGUUGUCUAGAACUUUUUUUGAUCGAAGUAUAGAACUAGUACAGUCGCCACUGGUUUUAUUUAUAGUGGGAUGAAUUAAUAUUUUGGGAAUUAAUUUAUUUUACUAAAAAGUUUCUAUUGGCUGAACAAAUGGUAGAAUUGUUGAACUGCAUCAAAAGUGUGGAAGGUAAAAAUAAAGGCAGGUCGUCUGCUUUCACACAUAUAAAGACAAAACAAAUUAUCUUUAGCAGGUCUCUUGCAUUUUUUUCUUAGAAACAUAAAAAAUUGUGAUUGGUGUUUGCAGUACACAAAUGCAGGACAUCUGCCACUAUGCAGGACAUCUGCCAAUGAUCUGUGCUUCCAUUCAUACUCUUAAUUGAUACAACAGGUUGGGAGAAAAAAAGAAAAGGGAGAUUUAUUGAAUUACCAACCUGUACUAAAGACUUGUCCUUCGAUUGACAGUUGAGACAAAAUCACAUAAUAGAGUCUAAGAAUGGACGAAAAUGUUUUUCACCAUCUGACACACUCAUCACAAAGUAUACUGAAACAAAUUAUUUUUCUCUUUUCUUUCCCUUGCGUUCUCUCUCUCUCUCUUUUGACUCACACUUUUUUUACACUCUCUUUUUUUCCUUUCUUUUUUUUUCUUUCUUCUUAUAAUCACUUUUCUCUUACUUCUCUUCCUUCUCUUCCCUUCCCUUCAACACUCUAUUUCUUCUACAUACAUGAAUCCUCUACAUAAACUCGUUAUUUUUAUUUCUUUCGUAUAUCAUUAGGUCCACAAACUCAUAAACCAUGUAUCAACUCGUUUCUCAU
This 995-nucleotide long non-coding RNA is filed under the name Brassica napus (rape). RNAcentral describes it as "long non-coding RNA (BNAP_LNC012991)". Lineage: Eukaryota; Viridiplantae; Streptophyta; Magnoliopsida; Brassicales; Brassicaceae. The record is from RNAcentral.